GGGACACGUGGUAUCCUGUCUGAAUAUGGGGGGACCAUCCUCCAAGGCUAAAUACUCCUGACUGACCGAUAGUGAACCAGUACCGUGAGGGAAAGGCGAAAAGAACCCCGGCGAGGGGAGUGAAAAAGAACCUGAAACCGUGUACGUACAAGCAGUGGGAGCACGCUUAGGCGUGUGACUGCGUACCUUUUGUAUAAUGGGUCAGCGACUUAUAUUCUGUAGCAAGGUUAACCGAAUAGGGGAGCCGAAGGGAAACCGAGUCUUAACUGGGCGUUAAGUUGCAGGGUAUAGACCCGAAACCCGGUGAUCUAGCCAUGGGCAGGUUGAAGGUUGGGUAACACUAACUGGAGGACCGAACCGACUAAUGUUGAAAAAUUAGCGGAUGACUUGUGGCUGGGGGUGAAAGGCCAAUCAAACCGGGAGAUAGCUGGUUCUCCCCGAAAGCUAUUUAGGUAGCGCCUCGUGAAUUCAUCUCCGGGGGUAGAGCACUGUUUCGGCAAGGGGGUCAUCCCGACUUACCAACCCGAUGCAAACUGCGAAUACCGGAGAAUGUUAUCACGGGAGACACACGGCGGGUGCUAACGUCCGUCGUGAAGAGGGAAACAACCCAGACCGCCAGCUAAGGUCCCAAAGUCAUGGUUAAGUGGGAAACGAUGUGGGAAGGCCCAGACAGCCAGGAUGUUGGCUUAGAAGCAGCCAUCAUUUAAAGAAAGCGUAAUAGCUCACUGGUCGAGUCGGCCUGCGCGGAAGAUGUAACGGGGCUAAACCAUGCACCGAAGCUGCGGCAGCGACGCUUAUGCGUUGUUGGGUAGGGGAGCGUUCUGUAAGCCUGCGAAGGUGUGCUGUGAGGCAUGCUGGAGGUAUCAGAAGUGCGAAUGCUGACAUAAGUAACGAUAAAGCGGGUGAAAAGCCCGCUCGCCGGAAGACCAAGGGUUCCUGUCCAACGUUAAUCGGGGCAGGGUGAGUCGACCCCUAAGGCGAGGCCGAAAGGCGUAGUCGAUGGGAAACAGGUUAAUAUUCCUGUACUUGGUGUUACUGCGAAGGGGGGACGGAGAAGGCUAUGUUGGCCGGGCGACGGUUGUCCCGGUUUAAGCGUGUAGGCUGGUUUUCCAGGCAAAUCCGGAAAAUCAAGGCUGAGGCGUGAUGACGAGGCACUACGGUGCUGAAGCAACAAAUGCCCUGCUUCCAGGAAAAGCCUCUAAGCAUCAGGUAACAUCAAAUCGUACCCCAAACCGACACAGGUGGUCAGGUAGAGAAUACCAAGGCGCUUGAGAGAACUCGGGUGAAGGAACUAGGCAAAAUGGUGCCGUAACUUCGGGAGAAGGCACGCUGAUAUGUAGGUGAAGUCCCUCGCGGAUGGAGCUGAAAUCAGUCGAAGAUACCAGCUGGCUGCAACUGUUUAUUAAAAACACAGCACUGUGCAAACACGAAAGUGGACGUAUACGGUGUGACGCCUGCCCGGUGCCGGAAGGUUAAUUGAUGGGGUUAGCGCAAGCGAAGCUCUUGAUCGAAGCCCCGGUAAACGGCGGCCGUAACUAUAACGGUCCUAAGGUAGCGAAAUUCCUUGUCGGGUAAGUUCCGACCUGCACGAAUGGCGUAAUGAUGG
This 1606-nucleotide ribosomal RNA is filed under the name Escherichia coli. RNAcentral's name for it is "partial 23S ribosomal RNA". It matches the Rfam family "Bacterial large subunit ribosomal RNA", at positions 419 to 2010 of the family's 2925-position model. Lineage: Bacteria; Pseudomonadati; Pseudomonadota; Gammaproteobacteria; Enterobacterales; Enterobacteriaceae. The record is from RNAcentral.